CCUACGGGCGGCUGCAGUGGGGAAUUUUGCGCAAUGGGCGAAAGCCUGACGUAGCGACACCGCGUGAGCGAAGAAGCCCUUUGGGGUGUAAAGCUCUGUCGGCUGGAACGAAAAAAAUGACGGUACCAGCAAAGGAAGCAUCGGCUAACUACGUGCCAGCAGCCGCGGUAAGACGUAGGAUGCGAGCGUUGUCCGGAUUUAUUGGGCGUAAAGAGUUCGUAGGUGGCUUGUCAAGUUUGAUGUUAAAGAUCGGGGCUCAACCCUGGGACUGCAUUGAAUACUGGCAGGCUUGAGUGUGGUAGAGGCUAGUGGAAUUCCCAGUGUAGCGGUGAAAUGCGUAGAUAUUGGGAAGAACACCGGUGGCGUAGGCGACUAGCUGGGCCAUAACUGACACUGAGGAACGAAAGCCAGGGUAGCGAAUGGGAUUAGAUACCCGGGUAGUC
RNAcentral lists this ribosomal RNA (443 nucleotides) under uncultured Vampirovibrio sp. RNAcentral's name for it is "bacterial SSU rRNA". It matches the Rfam family "Bacterial small subunit ribosomal RNA", at positions 338 to 795 of the family's 1533-position model. Lineage: Bacteria; Bacillati; Candidatus Melainabacteria; Vampirovibriophyceae; Vampirovibrionales; Vampirovibrionaceae. The record is from RNAcentral.